Molecule: transfer RNA, 72 nt
Filed under: Bos taurus (domestic cattle)
Lineage: Eukaryota; Metazoa; Chordata; Mammalia; Artiodactyla; Bovidae
Also listed under: 1 other name
Rfam family: tRNA
About the family: Transfer RNA (tRNA) molecules are approximately 80 nucleotides in length. Their secondary structure includes four short double-helical elements and three loops (D, anti-codon, and T loops).
Source: Rfam by way of RNAcentral
UCCCUCAUGGCUCAGCUGGUAAAGAAUCUGCCUGCAAUGCAGAAGACCGAGGUUCGAUCCCUGGGUUGGGAA